RNAcentral lists this ribosomal RNA (624 nucleotides) under uncultured archaeon. RNAcentral describes it as "bacterial SSU rRNA". It matches the Rfam family "Archaeal small subunit ribosomal RNA", at positions 147 to 776 of the family's 1478-position model. The record is from RNAcentral.
UAAUACUCCAUAGUUCGUUAUUACUGGAAUGUUUUUCGAACGAAAGAUCCGUCGCUUCAGGAUGAGUCUGCGGCCGAUUAGGUAGUUGUUGGGGUAAUUGCCCAACAAGCCUGUAAUCGGUACGGGUUGUGGGAGCAAGAGCCCGGAGAUGGAUUCUGAGACACGAAUCCAGGCCCUACGGGGCGCAGCAGGCGCGAAAACUUUACCAUGCGGGCAACCGUGAUAAGGAAACCCCGAGUGCCAGCACAGGCUGGCUGUCCGCCAGUUUAAACAACUGGCGAAGAAAGGGCCGGGCAAGACCGGUGCCAGCCGCCGCGGUAAUACCGGCGGCUCGAGUGGUGGCCGCUAUUACUGGGCUUAAGGGGUCCGUAGCUUGAUAAUAGGGUCCCUUGAGAAAUCCGCCGGCUUAACUGGCGGGCGUUCAGGGGAAACUUGUUUUCUAGGGACCGGGAGAGGUGAGGGGUACUGCCGGGGUAGGAGUGAAAUCCUGUAAUCCCGGUGGGACCACCUAUGGCGAAGGCAUCUCACCAGAACGGGUCCGACAGUGAGGGACGAAAGCUGGGGGAGCAAACCGGAUUAGAUACCCGGGUAGUCCCAGCUGUAAACUAUGUGCGUUAGGUGUGU